Bisporella sp. PMI_857 is the source of this 75-nucleotide non-coding RNA. NCBI's taxonomy places the organism in Eukaryota, Fungi, Ascomycota, Leotiomycetes, Helotiales, Helotiaceae. The record is from the annotation of a GenBank genome assembly.
GCUCCGUUGGUCCAAUGGUAUAAGACGCUGGCACAAACAAGCUAGAGAUAUUGGUUCGACUCCGGUACGGAGACA